RNAcentral lists this long non-coding RNA (641 nucleotides) under Prunus dulcis (almond). RNAcentral describes it as "sRNA ncRNA". Lineage: Eukaryota; Viridiplantae; Streptophyta; Magnoliopsida; Rosales; Rosaceae. The record is from RNAcentral.
UUUAAUUCCAAAUUCCCAAAGCAAAGCUUUAUUUCUCUCUUCCUCAUUGUUAAUUUGCUUUCUUUUUUAGAAGUUUUAAAACCAUGGGUUUCCGGUUGCCUGGUAUUGUACACGCUAAGAAAAAUCAAGUACCUUCAAAGGGCUUGGAUGUUCCUAAAGGCUACUUUGCAGUCUAUGUUGGGGAGAGCCAGAAGAAGCGGUUUGUGAUUCCGGUUUCAUUCUUGAACCAACCAUCAUUCCAAAAUUUGUUAAGUCAAGCUGAAGAUGAAUUUGGGUAUGAUCAUCCAAUGGGUGGUAUCACAAUCCCCUGCAGUGAAGACACCUUCCUUCAUCUCAUCUCGCGCUUUGGUGUAUGAGCACAACAUGCUAAAGUUCACCAUACAUGCACAAUUUUGACACCAGUGUCUACGAGGACAAAUUUUUGGAUCUGAAUUUGCGGCCAAGACAUCCUUCAUGAGGAGGUGCUAACUGCGGAUGAAUUGAAGACAACUUCGAUCAUUCACAGUUUAUAACUUCAAAUCGCUUGUGGGAGCUGAGGAGAAAAUGGCCAGCCUAGCAGAUAAAAUUAGCCGACACCCUUGUCCAAGAAUGUUAUUGCUUUACUUGGAAUUUGAAAGCCGGCAAGAUCAGUUAUUCAACCC